This 45-nucleotide non-coding RNA is filed under the name Schistosoma mattheei. The record is from RNAcentral. Lineage: Eukaryota; Metazoa; Platyhelminthes; Trematoda; Strigeidida; Schistosomatidae.
AUCCGGUUGGCGAGUCCCAAAUAGGACGAAACGUGCGUCCUGGAU